CUCGGCGGGAACAGACGGCCCCGUAACACGGGCCGCCCCCGCCAGAGGACCCCCUAACUCUGUUUCUAUAAUGUUUCUUCUGAGUAAACAAGCAAAUAAAUUAAAACUUUCAACAACGGAUCUCUUGGCUCUGGCAUCGAUGAAGAACGCAGCGAAAUGCGAUAAGUAAUGUGAAUUGCAGAAUUCAGUGAAUCAUCGAAUCUUUGAACGCACAUUGCGCCCGCCAGUAUUCUGGCGGGCAUGCCUGUUCGAGCGUCAUUACAACCCUCAGGCCCCCGGGCCUGGCGUUGGGGAUCGGCGGAAGCCCCCUGCGGGCACAACGCCGUCCCCCAAAUACAGUGGCGGUCCCGCCGCAGCU
This 358-nucleotide ribosomal RNA is filed under the name Fusarium solani. RNAcentral's name for it is "partial 18S ribosomal RNA". The stretch from base 105 to 258 matches the Rfam family "5.8S ribosomal RNA". Lineage: Eukaryota; Fungi; Ascomycota; Sordariomycetes; Hypocreales; Nectriaceae. The record is from RNAcentral.